RNAcentral lists this ribosomal RNA (429 nucleotides) under Pseudomonadota bacterium. Its description in RNAcentral is "Proteobacteria bacterium partial 16S ribosomal RNA". It matches the Rfam family "Bacterial small subunit ribosomal RNA", at positions 355 to 776 of the family's 1533-position model. Lineage: Bacteria; Pseudomonadati; Pseudomonadota. The record is from RNAcentral.
UGGGGAAUAUUGGACAAUGGGCGAAAGCCUGAUCCAGCCAUGCCGCGUGUGUGAAGAAGGUCUUCGGAUUGUAAAGCACUUUAAGUUGGGAGGAAGGGCAGUAAGCGAAUACCUUGCUGUUUUGACGUUACCGACAGAAUAAGCACCGGCUAACUCUGUGCCAGCAGCCGCGGUAAUACAGAGGGUGCAAGCGUUAAUCGGAAUUACUGGGCGUAAAGCGCGCGUAGGUGGUUCGUUAAGUUGAAUGUGAAAGCCCCGGGCUCAACCUGGGAACUGCAUCCAAAACUGGCGAGCUGGAGUAGGGCAGAGGGUGGUGGAAUUUCCUGUGUAGCGGAGAAAUGCGUAGAUAUAGGAAGGAACACCAGUGGCGAAGGCGACCACCUGGGCUCAUACUGACACUGAGGUGCGAAAGCGUGGGGAGCAAACAGG